Molecule: ribosomal RNA, 550 nt
Filed under: uncultured archaeon
Lineage: Archaea
Description: bacterial SSU rRNA
Rfam family: Archaeal small subunit ribosomal RNA
Source: RNAcentral
UUUCCGGUUGAUCCUGCCGGAGGCCACUGCUAUUGGCGUUCGACUAAGCCAUGCGAGUCUAUGGACUUCGGUCCAUGGCGGACGGCUCAGUAACACGUGGCUAACCUACCCUCAGGUGGGGGAUAACCUCGGGAAACUGAGGGUAAUACCCCAUAGGGGAAGAGGUCUGGAAUGAUCCUUCCUUGAAAGGACCAUCCGCCUGAGGAUGGGGCUGCGUCCGAUUAGGUAGUUGGUGGGGUAAUGGCCCACCAAGCCUACGACCGGUACGGGCCUUGAGAGAGGAAGCCCGGAGAUGGGGACUGAGACACGGCCCCAGGCCCUACGGGGCGCAGCAGGCGCGAAACCUCCACAAUGCACGAAAGUGCGAUGGGGGAACCCCAAGUGCCUAUGCACAGCAUAGGCUUUUCCCAAGUGUAAACAGCUUGGGGAAUAAGGGCUGGGCAAGUCCGGCGCCAGCAGCCGUGGUAACACCGGCGGCCCGAGUGGUGGCCACUCUUAUUGGGCCUAAAGCGUCCGUAGCCGGUCCAGUAAGUCCCUGUUUAAAUCCUAC